UUUUUUUUUUUUUUGUCUUACCGGUAUAUGUAUAAAACAUUACAGUGGUAGUCUUAGGGACCUUUACUUAUCUACACUGUAUACAAUCAAACCUACACAGGGUUAAUGUGAAACAAUAUAUUUGUAUGUUUAUUAUCUCAGUUUACAUGUAAUAAAUUUCACUGGUAUGUAAAAAAUCCUUUUUUUUAUAUAUAUCAAAUGAUUUCCUCCCAUCUUUGUGAAGUUUUGAUUACAUUCUGACUUGAAACAUAUCCAUUUUUUUUUUCUAAGUCUUUUUAUAGUGAACUUUAAAAAAAGAUAAUUCAAGCAAUGUUAUAUUGCUUGCAGUUUAAAUACAAUCUUUUUUUUUUGUUAUUAUGUGCCUGCCAAUACUUUCUGCGAUGCUUUAUAGAUUGACUUACAUCAGUGUUGCCCAAACUGUGACCCUGGGGUCUUAUCUAGCCUUUCAAAGCUUCCCCUCACACAAUGUUUAAUGAAGCUGCAAAAAAUUGGUUUGAUUGGAUUCAUUGUUAGAUGUGGCCUGUGAGGUGUUGAAAGGUUAUUUAGCCUAUAGGCCAUAAACAGUUGGGCAACACUGAGUUGCAUGACAUUGCCAUUGAAUCCUUAUAGUUGUGAACCUCAGACCAGUUAGCUGGACUGACCACACAAAAGAUUUUACAUGCAUGUAAAGCUUGGGGACAUUCUCACAUGACAAAAUUAUUCUAAGGAAAGAUGUUUUUAAUGAAUAGGAAUUUAAAAAGACUUUUAGGAUUGCAUUUAAAAAUAAAAUCUAAUUUUUUUUUAUUUAAGAGGGAAGGGAAUAAUUUCAUCUUUCCAACCUCCAAAAAUGAUUAGCGUCUAAACCUGAGACAUUCAGGUUUAAAUUUCACUCCUCUGUCACAAACUUGACCAUGCUACAAAGUUUGAUUUAAAUAAAAAGUAAUUUUCUUUUUCUCAAACUCAAAAUUCAAUCAUUAUUUUCUCAUGAUGCCUUUAAGAUUUUUAAAAAUUUGCUUUUGUGUGUGGCAUACAAUAAUGUUUAAUAUGGUUGUCGAUAUCAAUACUUACAAACUUGUGUUUGCUUUUAUAAAAAAAAUUUUUUUGGCUCUUCAAAAUCUGUGAAACUAAAUGAAGUAAAACUUUUUUUUUUUUUUUACUUCUGCCCUGCCAGUGGGGCUUAACGUUUGUGUUGGCUCAGUGAUAUAGUCUAGCUGUGAAGUUACUUGCUCUCUACUUGUUAGGCCUGUGUGCACUGUGUGUGGUGGCUGGCCUUAUUAUUGCAUGAUCCCUAUUAGUACAUAGAACUAAGAUUAUAAAAGUGAUUCCUUCCCUAUGAAGGCUACAGUUUCAGGGUUUCUAACCAUAAUUUUGAUCCAUCAAACUCAAUAGAGUAUAUUACUUGAUUUUUUGCAGCCUUCAUGUUACAUCUAUGAUCAUAAUACUAUUGGUUGAAAUAUCUAAACCACUGUUUCCUAAUGUUAUGGAGAAUAGAAAAUCUAAAAUAAAAUAAACUUUAUCCUUUUAAUGAAUUACCUCCCUUUGCCCAUUAUUCUCUCAAUCUUGUUCCUUACAUACUUGUGGUGAGUGAC
Non-coding RNA from Biomphalaria pfeifferi, 1568 nucleotides. The record is from the annotation of a GenBank genome assembly. Lineage: Eukaryota; Metazoa; Mollusca; Gastropoda; Planorbidae.